GAGGUGGGAGGAUUGCUUGAGCCUGGGAGGUCGAGGCUGCAGUGAGCUGUGAUGGUGCCACUGCACUCCAGCCUGAGUGAUAGAGCAAGACCGUGUCUCA
Chlorocebus sabaeus (green monkey) is the source of this 100-nucleotide microRNA precursor. Lineage: Eukaryota; Metazoa; Chordata; Mammalia; Primates; Cercopithecidae. The record is from Ensembl.